CGCGGCCUAUCAGCUUGUUGGUGGGGUAAUGGCCUACCAAGGCGACGACGGGUAGCCGGCCUGAGAGGGUGACCGGCCACACUGGGACUGAGACACGGCCCAGACUCCUACGGGAGGCAGCAGUGGGGAAUAUUGCACAAUGGGCGAAAGCCUGAUGCAGCGACGCCGCGUGAGGGAUGACGGCCUUCGGGUUGUAAACCUCUUUCAGCAGGGAAGAAGCGAAAGUGACGGUACCUGCAGAAGAAGCGCCGGCUAACUACGUGCCAGCAGCCGCGGUAAUACGUAGGGCGCGAGCGUUGUCCGGAAUUAUUGGGCGUAAAGAGCUCGUAGGCGGCUUGUCACGUCGGUUGUGAAAGCCCGGGGCUUAACCCCGGGUCUGCAGUCGAUGCGGGCAGGCUAGAGUUCGGUAGGGGAGAUCGGAAUUCCUGGUGUAGCGGUGAAAUGCGCAGAUAUCAGGAGGAACACCGGUGGCGAAGGCGGAUCUCUGGGCCGAUACUGACGCUGAGGAGCGAAAGCGUGGGGAGCGAACAGGAUUAGAUACCCUGGUAGUCCACGCCGUAAACGGUGGGCACUAGGUGUGGGCGACAUUCCACGUCGUCCGUGCCGCAGCUAACGUAUUAAGUGCCCCGCCUGGGGAGUACGG
RNAcentral lists this ribosomal RNA (643 nucleotides) under uncultured Actinomycetes bacterium. RNAcentral's name for it is "bacterial SSU rRNA". It matches the Rfam family "Bacterial small subunit ribosomal RNA", at positions 232 to 885 of the family's 1533-position model. The record is from RNAcentral. Lineage: Bacteria; Bacillati; Actinomycetota; Actinomycetes.